This 608-nucleotide ribosomal RNA is filed under the name uncultured bacterium. RNAcentral describes it as "bacterial SSU rRNA". It matches the Rfam family "Bacterial small subunit ribosomal RNA", at positions 338 to 947 of the family's 1533-position model. The record is from RNAcentral.
CCUACGGGAGGCAGCAGUAAGGAAUAUUGGACAAUGCUCGCAAGAGUGAUCCAGCCAUGCCGCGUGCAGGAAGAAUGCCCUAUGGGUAGUAAACCGCUUUUGAACUAGAGAAAACCCCAGUACGUGUACUGGGCUGAUAGUAUAGUUAGAAUAAGCAUCGGCUAACUUCGUGCCAGCAGCCGCGGUAAGACGAAGGAUGCAAGCGUUAUCCGGAUUCAUUGGGUUUAAAGGGAGCGUAGGUGGACUGAUAAGUCAGUGGUGAAAUCUCCGAGCUUAACUCGGAAAUUGCCAUUGAUACUGUUGGUCUUGAGUACAGUUGCUGUGGGCGGAAUAUGACAUGUAGUGGUGAAAUACAUAGAGAUGUCAUAGAACACCGAUUGCGAAGGCAGCUCACAAAGCUGUAACUGACACUGAGGCUCGAAAGUGCGGGGAUCAAACAGGAUUAGAUACCCUGGUAGUCCGCACCGUAAACGAUGAUUACUCGCUGCUAGGGGGCAACCUUUAGUGGCUUAGCGAAAGCGAUAAGUAAUCCACCUGGGGAGUACGCCGGCACGGUGAAACUUAAAUGAAUUGACGGNNGAGAGNGCGAGGACGACACGAGGGAGGAG